ACUUGGACAAAUUUAACCAAACUUGUCCAAAAUCAUCUUUUCGGUAUCUAGAUUAAAAAAUGUGUCCGAUGACUUGGCCUGUGAACCAAGAUUGCGGACAUGGCUAAAAGUCGUUUUUUAAAGAAUUUUCAUAAAUUUUGUAAAUUUGUAUUGUAACUUGUAGCAACAUAUUUUCCUCUGCAACUAAUGGGCCAAGUUCAUUAUAGAUAGAAAUAAUUGUAAGUAGCAAGAACGUUCAGUAAAGUAAGAUCUAAAACACAUCACCAUUACCAAAACACAAUUUUGUCAUUAAUCCAUCUGUGUCUUUUGUUUAAUAUGCACAUAGACCAAGGUGAGCGACACAGGCUUGUAAGAGCCUCUAGUUUAAAUGUCGCAUUGAAUGGGUAACUCAAGCUUUCAUCAUUUUACUUUGAUUGUCAUAAGAGUAUAAAUAUAUACAGUU
Molecule: long non-coding RNA, 442 nt
Filed under: Mytilus galloprovincialis (Mediterranean mussel)
Lineage: Eukaryota; Metazoa; Mollusca; Bivalvia; Mytilida; Mytilidae
Source: RNAcentral